AUUUAAAUAGCUUAUAAUUAGAGCAUAAUAUUGAAAAUAUUAAGGAAAUUUUAUAAAUUUUUAAAUA
RNAcentral lists this transfer RNA (67 nucleotides) under Bombus filchnerae. RNAcentral describes it as "tRNA-Phe". Lineage: Eukaryota; Metazoa; Arthropoda; Insecta; Hymenoptera; Apidae. The record is from RNAcentral.